AAGCUCUUUGUAUUGUCAGUGAUAAGAUUUGGUUUUUGUAAUCUCUUACAGCCACCAGCACAGUUUUGAAUGCAUUCAAGACCAGUGAAGUAUUUUUGCUUUUGUGAUGGUUUUUUUAUGAUUUUUGCUGGUACUCUGUUGGGAUCAAUCCUAGGUCCUCACACAUAAAUAAACCCCACUCUCCCUGAGUGACAGCCCAAACCUGUUUUUUAUAGUUUUGCCUUCUGGCUCCUUUUUUCCCAUAAAUCAUCAGAGGUGUUCCAUGAUUGGCUCCUGACUUUAUGCUGAAAAUCCCUUGGAGAAUCGAUUCUUUGGCGAUGAAAAAUGUACCUUGGAAGAUCUGAACGCAGUUAACGUUUUGUCCUUUGAAAACACUUGGCAUCCUUGUUUGUAUGUUGACUACAGAGGGAGGGAGGGUGGGAAGAUAUUUUUAGCCCUUCUUUCUAAGGAUCCAGGCCAGGACGUUCUCUGAGUAGCAAGGACUGGAAUCGGAGCUCCUCUCCACGGCUUGGUUCUGGUGCCUUAGCUUUUGGGAAUGUCAGCUUUUUAGGGGGCUGGAGAGAUGGUUCAGUGGUUAAGAGCACUGACUGCUCUUCCAGAGGUCCUGGAUUCGGAUCCCAGCAACCACACACAGCAGCUCACCACUAUCUGUAACUCCAGAUCCAGGGGAUCUGAUACCUCCACUCAUCUUAGCCUGGCUCCGAUACUUGUGAAUAGCUUCAUGAACCCGGGGAGGCUAGCUGGACAGCUGAGAGAAGCCAUGUCUGCAGCACGGGACAGGCCAAUGAUUCAGCCAGAGCCCUCCCUGUGGCUGGGAAGCCAGAGCCGACGGCUCGGUCUCUUGCUUCUGCUCCUGUCUCUCCUUGGCAUCACACGGACAGAGGUUCAACCACCCCAGCUGCCAAAGCAAGAUCCCACUCUGCAAGCCCUGAGCAGGAAGGAGAGUUUCUUAAUCCUCACCGCACACAACCGACUGCGCAGCCAGGUCCACCCUCCUGCAGCCAACAUGCAGAGAAUGGACUGGAGCGAGAGCCUGGCUCAGCUAGCUCAAGCCAGGGCAGCCCUUUGUGGCACUUCAGUCACCCCAAACCUGGCAUCUACCCCAGGGCACAACCCACAUGUGGGCUGGAAUGUGCAGCUAAUGCCCAUGGGCUCAGCAUCCUUUGUCGAAGUGGUCAACCUCUGGUUUGCUGAAGGGCUGCAGUACAGACAUGGGGAUGCUGAGUGUGCCCACAAUGCCACCUGUGCCCACUACACACAACUUGUGUGGGCCACCUCCAGCCAGCUGGGCUGUGGGCGGCAGCCAUGCUUUGUGGACCAGGAAGCCAUGGAAGCCUUUGUCUGUGCCUACUCCCCUGGAGGCAACUGGGAUAUAAACGGGAAGACAGUCGCCCCUUACAAGAAAGGCACCUGGUGCUCCCUCUGCACAGCCAGGGUCUCGGGCUGCUUCAAGGCCUGGGAUCACGCAGGGGGGCUCUGUGAGGUUCCCAGGAACCCAUGCCGCAUGAGCUGCCAAAAUCUCGGACAUCUCAACAUUACCACUUGUCGCUGUCACUGUCCACCUGGCUACACAGGGAGGUACUGCCAAGUGCGCUGCAGUGUACAGUGUGUGCACGGCCAAUUCCGGAAAGAAGAAUGUUCCUGUAUCUGUGAUGUCGGCUAUGGGGGAGCCCAGUGUGCCACCAAGGUGCACUUUCCUUUCCACACCUGUGACCUGAGGAUUGACGGAGACUGCUUCAUGGUGUCUCCCGAGGCAGACACCUACUAUGGAGCCAAGACGAAAUGUCAGGGAAAAGGUGGGGUGCUAGCCCAGAUCGAGAGCCAGAAAGUGCAAGACAUCCUUGCCUUCUACCUGGGCCGCCUGGAGACCACCAACGAGGUGACUGACAGUGACUUUGAGACCAAGAAUUUCUGGAUUGGCAUUAGGCAGCAGGCUUCUGGACUCUCAGAUAGUAGUCAACCUUGGCUACCCUGGUCCAGGGCUCACCUACAAGGCAGCUAAGGAUUCCUUCCGCUGGACUACUGGAGAACACCAGUCCUUCACCAGUUUUGCCUUCCGGCAGCCUGACAACCAGGGGUUUGGGAACUGUGUGGAAAUGCAGGCAUCUGCUGCCUUCAACUGGAAUGACCAACGUUGUAAAACUCGAAACCGUUAUAUCUGCCAGUUUGCUCAGAAGCACUAUUCCCGGUGGGAGCCAGGACCCCGAGCCUGGCCAAUCAGCUCUCCUGCCAGCCCCUGAAUGCACAAAUCAGUUUGCUGGACUUCUCACCCAUGUGAAACAAGUGCCUGGCUAGGACUAAAUGCCCAACCUCCCAAGCGGAGACCUUGCACAAUGCUGGACGCUGGGUAAGAUAGUAGUAUAGCCCAUGGGAAACAAAUAGAAAGUGGUACAAGAGCCUAGCAUGGGAAGAGAAGCGCCAGCGUCCUCAGCCUGCCUUUGAUGGGAAAGAGGGGCUCCCAUGGGUUCCUAAAGCAAAAGCCAGAGCCAGGAGCCAGUAGAAGCUGUUCUGCUCCAUCCAGACCAAACUCCUUCGGACAGCUGGAGUUUUCAGUGGCCUUUAGUUCCAGAUUAAAUGACGUUGUGAAUC
This is a non-coding RNA of Mus caroli (Ryukyu mouse), 2589 nucleotides long. Lineage: Eukaryota; Metazoa; Chordata; Mammalia; Rodentia; Muridae. The record is from RefSeq and is a predicted model, not a curated record.